AGUCGUCGUUGCGUGUUGUAG
Molecule: microRNA, 21 nt
Filed under: Drosophila melanogaster (fruit fly)
Lineage: Eukaryota; Metazoa; Arthropoda; Insecta; Diptera; Drosophilidae
Description: dme-miR-4973-5p
Source: miRBase by way of RNAcentral